RNAcentral lists this ribosomal RNA (499 nucleotides) under uncultured Sphingobacteriales bacterium. Its description in RNAcentral is "bacterial SSU rRNA". It matches the Rfam family "Bacterial small subunit ribosomal RNA", at positions 904 to 1382 of the family's 1533-position model. Lineage: Bacteria; Pseudomonadati; Bacteroidota; Sphingobacteriia; Sphingobacteriales. The record is from RNAcentral.
CGCCUUGCCAGCCGCUCAGAACUUAAGGAAUUGACGGGGCCGCACAAGCGGUGGAGCAUGUGGUUUAGUUCGAUGAUACGCGAGGAACCUUACCUGGGCUCAAAUGUAUGUUGACGUAUUCUGAAAGGGAUACUUCUUCGGACAAUAUACAAGGUGCUGCAUGGUUGUCGUCAGCUCGUGCCGUGAGGUGUCGGGUUAAGUCCCAUAACGAGCGCAACCCCUAUCAUUAGUUGCCAUCAGGUCAAGCUGGGGACUCUAAUGAAACUGCCUACGCAAGUAGUGAGGAAGGUGGGGAUGACGUCAAAUCAGCACGGCCCUUACGUCCAGGGCUACACACGUGCUACAAUGGCCGGUACAAAGGGCAGCUACCUGGUGACAGGAUGCUAAUCUCAAAAGCCGGUCUCAGUUCGGAUCGGAGUCUGCAACCCGACUCCGUGAAGUUGGAAUCGCUAGUAAUCGUGGAUCCAGCAUGCCAACGGUGAAUACGUUCCCGGGCCUU